AGACUGAGGCUCGUGCAUGAGGGGAUAGCAUGCUUUUACUUUCACUCUCUUUGUAUUAAAAAACUAUUUCCCGGUCGGAAUAUUAUCGCUUUUUUACGAGAAAAAUGGCAUGAAAAUUUAUUUAAACAGCGGUUGACAUGCUUCGAAGUAGGGUAAUGGAAUAUUUCGAUUUUUUUUGUCACGAAACGCGUCGUGCUCGUCACCCUUAUUUACCCUUUCGGAUAGUGUCUUGAACGCACGAACAAAACGCCGCUAUUUGGAUAUAACAAUGGAUUAUUUGGGACCAAACCAACAUUUCUUAUUGAAGUAGAAGUCCUGGGAGUGCAUUCUGACGAAGAACAGCAAAGUGUUCUUCUGGAGAGGGGUGCCUCGGACGACUUCUGGCAGAGAGAAAUGCUUGCAGUCUGGCCAAUGAGAUCGGGGGAAGUUCCCCAGUACCACCAUCUUUUCUCACUGGAGAAUGAUGACGGCAAGACUCCAAGGCAUAGCGAUUGGUCUCCUCUACUGUGUCUCCCACCAGCUCCUCUGUCAGAAACAACUUGAAGCUGCCUCAGUUGAAAAUGGCAAGGGGUGUUGCACUCCAGACUGG
RNAcentral lists this long non-coding RNA (589 nucleotides) under Salmo salar (Atlantic salmon). RNAcentral describes it as "lncRNA (ENSSSAG00000106225.1)". Lineage: Eukaryota; Metazoa; Chordata; Actinopteri; Salmoniformes; Salmonidae. The record is from RNAcentral.